GACGCAGGGGGCUAGCGUUGUUCGGAAUUACUGGGCGUAAAGCGCGUGUAGGCGGUUGUCCAAGUUGGAUGUGAAAGCCUUGAGCUUAACUCAAGAAAUGCAUUCAGGACUGGAUGACUAGAGGACCGGAGAGGAUAGUGGAAUUCCCAGUGUAGUGGUGAAAUACGUAGAGAUUGGGAAGAACACCAGUGGCGAAGGCGGCUAUCUGGACGGUUUCUGACGCUAAGACGCGAAAGCGUGGGGAGCAAACAGG
RNAcentral lists this ribosomal RNA (253 nucleotides) under uncultured bacterium. RNAcentral describes it as "partial 16S ribosomal RNA". It matches the Rfam family "Bacterial small subunit ribosomal RNA", at positions 524 to 776 of the family's 1533-position model. The record is from RNAcentral.